This 274-nucleotide ribosomal RNA is filed under the name uncultured bacterium. Its description in RNAcentral is "partial 16S ribosomal RNA". It matches the Rfam family "Bacterial small subunit ribosomal RNA", at positions 523 to 796 of the family's 1533-position model. The record is from RNAcentral.
AUACGAAAGGUGCAAGCGUUGUUCGGAUUUACUGGGCGUAAAGAGAGUGUAGGUGGUUUAUUAAGUCGGAUGUGAAAUCCCGGGGCUCAACCUCGGAACUGCAUUCGAUACUGGUAGACUAGAGUUCGAGAGGGGUAAGCGGAAUUCCGUGUGUAGCAGUGAAAUGCGUAGAUAUACGGAGGAACACCUGAGGCGAAGGCGGCUUACUGGACCGAUACUGACACUGAGACUCGAAAGCGUGAGUAGCAAACAGGAUUAGAAACCCCAGUAGUCC